UUACGUCAUUUACGGAACCGAUUUUUGUGAUAAAAUCUUGUGACUCGUUUUUUUCACUUUUUUUUAGGCAGUGUGGGGUAGACGUAGUUUUGUGGAGUUUCUUUUUAGAAACAUAUAUACACAUAGAUACUUUUUGGAAAGAAGAGAAGCUGAUCUUUAUUUUUUUUAAACUUUUAUGUAUGGUUACUAAACUUUUUAACGGAUUAUUUUGCUCCUGAAUAUUUGGUUGAUGUUUUCACAUAAAUUUGUAGUCGAAGGCAUGAAGUUUCCGCUUUUUUGAUUGUUCAUCCACCUUAAUACAUGUAUUUUCUAUUUAUGUGCCAAAUUUCAACGAAAAAUAUUAGGGAGCAGAUAUGUAACGAGGUGCUUUUUUAAAUAUACUGCUUUUUUGAAGUAGGGUUAGACAAACGUUUUUAGUGGUGUUUUUUUUUAGAAACAUAUAUAAACAAAAAGUAUAUUUGGAAAGAAGAAAGGUUAGGCUUGAUUUUUAUAGUACUUUUAUUUAUAACCACUAAACUUUUUUAUGGUUAGUUUUGCUAAAAACUUUCAUGAAAAUUUCGUUGAUGUUCUCACAUUAAGUUCUUAUCGAUGGAAUGAAGUUUCCGCUUUUUUUGUUAUUCAGGAACUUUUUUGCAUGCAUUUUCUUUGUACAUGCCAAAUUUCAGCCAAAAAUAUUAGGGAGCAGAUAGUAUGAGAAGUGUAGGACUUUUGGUACCUAAAUUCGGUUUUUUUUGUUUUUGUUUUUGUUUUAUCGGUAAGAGAAAUACGGGGAGGAAAGGGGGGUGGGAAAUAGUAAACAAAAAAAUUCUUACUACAUUGUAUUAUUUAAUUUUUAAUAUUAGAUUAUUUUAAUAAAUAAAAAAUGGUAAAAGUCAUAACAAAGAAGACUUCAAAAAGCCAAUUUGCACAGACUACAGCUGUAUCUACCUCUUGUGCUACACCUGGAAAGUUAAACAACUAUUAGUUUUUAAGGUUGGUCGGUUAAAUAUGAUCAUUUAAAUGAGAAAAUGUAUACUCGUGCUACUGAAUACAUGUAAACUAGAGAAAAUGAAUAAUCGUGCAAAUGUAUACUCGUGCAAUCUUGUAAAACAAUUCUGUAUUGUGCUUUUUUCUUUUAAUAAUUGCAUGUGAAAAUGUUGAAAAUAUCAUUUCUAUGUGUUUUCUUUUUUACGUUGGUUGAGGGGAAGGGGGAAAACCAUCCCUCUCCUCAAAUUGUACAUCACUAAUGUAUGUUCUA
This is a long non-coding RNA of Hydra vulgaris (swiftwater hydra), 1237 nucleotides long. RefSeq lists it as uncharacterized. Lineage: Eukaryota; Metazoa; Cnidaria; Hydrozoa; Anthoathecata; Hydridae. The record is from RefSeq and is a predicted model, not a curated record.